Molecule: transfer RNA, 72 nt
Filed under: Sulfitobacter phage phiCB2047-B
Lineage: Duplodnaviria; Heunggongvirae; Uroviricota; Caudoviricetes; Schitoviridae
Rfam family: tRNA
About the family: Transfer RNA (tRNA) molecules are approximately 80 nucleotides in length. Their secondary structure includes four short double-helical elements and three loops (D, anti-codon, and T loops).
Source: Rfam by way of RNAcentral
GCGUAGGUAGCUCAGGGGUAGAGCUUCUGGUUGAAGCCCAGAGAGUCGGUGGUUCAAUUCCAUCUCUACGCA